AGCUCCAAUAGCGUAUAUUAAAUUUGCUGCAGUUAAAGCGUUCGUAGUUUGUGUUUCACAAUCCGAUAGGCAUGUCAUCAAUGUUUCAUUGAUGACGCCGGAAUUUGGAUUGCAACGUAGUUUAAACUGCGUUGAAUUACUUUGAGUAAAUGGACUUGCUCCAAGCAGGCUUUUGCUUGUACCGCUCAGCGUGGAAUAAUGGGAUACAGCUCUUGAUUGAUUUGUUGGUGAAUCGAUUGAGAUGCGAUAAACGACAAGGACAUCCGGGGGCAUUUGUACUCGCUGGAGAGAGGUGAAAUUCUAAGACCCGGCGAAGACAAACUGACGCGAAAGCAUUUGCCCAGAGUGUGCCUG
This 354-nucleotide ribosomal RNA is filed under the name uncultured eukaryote. RNAcentral describes it as "SSU rRNA". It matches the Rfam family "Eukaryotic small subunit ribosomal RNA", at positions 587 to 972 of the family's 1831-position model. The record is from RNAcentral.